UACAGAGGGUGCAAGCGUUGUUCGGAAUUAUUGGGCGUAAAGAGCUCGUAGGCGGUCUGUCGCGUCGGCUGUGAAAACCCGGGGCUCAACCCCGGGCCUGCAGUCGAUACGGGCAGACUAGAGUGCGGUAGGGGAGACUGGAAUUCCUGGUGUAGCGGUGAAAUGCGCAGAUAUCAGGAGGAACACCGGUGGCGAAGGCGGGUCUCUGGGCCGUAACUGACGCUGAGGCGCGAAAGCUAGGGGAGCGAACAGG
This 253-nucleotide ribosomal RNA is filed under the name uncultured bacterium. RNAcentral's name for it is "partial 16S ribosomal RNA". It matches the Rfam family "Bacterial small subunit ribosomal RNA", at positions 524 to 776 of the family's 1533-position model. The record is from RNAcentral.